This 1087-nucleotide long non-coding RNA is filed under the name Fukomys damarensis (Damara mole-rat). Its description in RNAcentral is "lncRNA (ENSFDAG00000025317.1)". The record is from RNAcentral. Lineage: Eukaryota; Metazoa; Chordata; Mammalia; Rodentia; Bathyergidae.
CAAGAAUGGUUCAGACAUUCAGGAGUCAGGAACUGACUUGUGAUGCUUCUUUCCCUAGACUUCUCCUUUGAAACCUGGCAUUAACUAGUGUUCUCAUUGCUGCUGUGAGUGCUGCAAAUGACUUGGUGAUGUGUUCAGUGACUGGAACAGUUGGUGCUGAGCCCAUGGGCCGGGAAAGACCUGGACUCCUUGGGCCUUUACCCUGUCAGCCGCUUGCUGUCAUACAUCUUGGCCCCUUUCUGGUUUCACUGCUUGUGCUCAUGCCAUACUUUCCUCCUGGGUUGUUCUUCCUUUUCUCUUGGACCUGUCAAACCCCCCUUGAAGGGGGUGUUCAUGUACCACCUCCCUGUGAAGCAUUCCUGGCCACCUCUCCUGGGACUGAUGCUUCGCAGAGUAGUCCUGUGUUGCAGGAUCUGUGCAACCUGCUUUCCUGCCCUGCUGACAUCAGCUCUGUGUGUGUUGGGAGGAGGAGCUCUGCAGCCAGAUGAUUGGACACGAUCCUGGGCCGCCUGUCACAGUGGACUCAGCUUCCCGGGUUGUCCUUGGGCCAGGCACAGGUUCCUGCUCCCUGCCAGCAGAGAUUUUCUGCCCGCCCAGACCUUCUCCAAGGCCAGUCUCCACACUUUCUGGGAAGUCGUUUCAGAGAGAACCCUACCAGGUCAGCUUGGCGAAGAUCCUCCCCCUGGUACCUAUCACCCUGCUGUCUGAUCAGGUCCCCAUCAUUUACCACCCCUAGAGAAUGUCAGGAAGCCCACGGGGCCAGUUGUGCUGGAAUCCGCUGGGCCCCAGCCUGUUCCCUGCCUGUCCUUGCCUCUGCCAUGCUGUCUUUGGAGCUGAAUCCAUGCUCCCAUUGCAGAGCCCUGUAUCACGGCCCCACACCUCUCACAACAGCCUGCUUAGCCUCCUUUAGCAUACUUUCACCAGGGGCCCUGGGUACAUCUUGCUUCAUCUCCUCUUGCCUGAGCUGGGCUCCAGAGGCUGAGUGGAAAGGGAGACAGGAACAACAGUUGUACCUCUGAGAGCAGGACCUCAGCCUCAGCAGAGGAGCUGGCCGUUAAGUACCUCCCUGCACCCUGCUCCCUGCUCC